UGACUGCGUAUCCCCGUAUCAUUGAAAAAUAAUAGUUACCCAUUCUCCUCUUAAACUACUCAAAUAAUUACGUCAUUUUAAUGACUGCGUAUCCCCGUAUCAUUGAAAAAUAAUAGUUAUCCAUUCUCCUCUUAAACUACUCGAAUAAUUACGUCAUUUUAAUGACUGCAUAUCCCCGUAUCAUUGAAAAAUAAUAGUUAACCAUUCCCCUUUUAAACUACUCGAAUAAUUACGUCAUUUUAAUGACUGCGUAUCCCCGUAUCAUUGAAAAAUAAUAGUUACCCAUUCUCCUCUUAAACUACUCGAAUAAUUACGUCAUUUUAAUGCCUGCGUAUCC
Molecule: non-coding RNA, 337 nt
Organism: Paramuricea clavata
Lineage: Eukaryota; Metazoa; Cnidaria; Anthozoa; Malacalcyonacea; Plexauridae
Source: the annotation of a GenBank genome assembly